Molecule: ribosomal RNA, 502 nt
Filed under: uncultured crenarchaeote
Lineage: Archaea; Thermoproteati; Thermoproteota
Description: bacterial SSU rRNA
Rfam family: Archaeal small subunit ribosomal RNA
Source: RNAcentral
UCCGAGUGGUGUGGAUGUUUAUUGGGCCUAAAGCAUCCGUAGCUGGCUAGGUCAGUCCCUUGUUAAAUCCACCGAAUUAAUCGUUGGAUUGCGGGGGAUACUGCUUGGCUAGGGGACGAGAGAGGCAGACGGUAUUUUCGGGGUAGGGGUGAAAUCCUAUAAUCCCGGGAAGACCACCAGUGGCGAAGGCUGUCUGCUAGAACGCGCCCGACGGUGAGGGAUGAAAGCUGGGGGGGCGAACCGGAUUAGAUACCCGGGUAGUCCCAGCUGUAAACGAUGCAGACUAGGUGUUUGGACGGCCACGUGCCGUUCUAGUGCCGCAGGGAAGCUGUUAAGUCUGCCGCCUGGGGAGUACGAUCGCAAGAUUGAAACUUAAAGGAAUUGGCGGGGGAGCACCACAAGGGGUGAAGCUUGCGAUUUAAUUGGAGUCAACGCCGGAAAUCUCACCGGGAGCGACAGCAGUAUGAAGGCCAGAUUAAAGGUCUUGCCAGACGAGCUGAGA